RNAcentral lists this ribosomal RNA (370 nucleotides) under uncultured bacterium. Its description in RNAcentral is "partial 16S ribosomal RNA". The record is from RNAcentral.
UUUCGCCCAUUGUCCAAUAUUCCCCACUGCUGCCUCCCGUAGGAGUCUGGACCGUGUCUCAGUUCCAGUGUGACUGAUCAUCCUCUCAGACCAGUUACGGAUCGUCGCCUUGGUAGGCCUUUACCCCACCAACUAGCUAAUCCGACCUAGGCUCAUCUGAUAGCGUGAGGUCCGAAGAUCCCCCACUUUCUCCCUCAGGACGUAUGCGGUAUUAGCACCCGUUUCCGGACGUUAUCCCCCACUACCAGGCAGAUUCCUAGGCAUUACUCACCCGUCCGCCGCUGAAUCCAGGAGCAAGCUCCCUUCAUCCGCUCGACUUGCAUGUGUUAGGCCUGCCGCCAGCGUUCAAUCUGAGCCAGGAUCAAACCCU